This is a long non-coding RNA of Suricata suricatta (meerkat), 814 nucleotides long. RefSeq lists it as uncharacterized. The record is from RefSeq and is a predicted model, not a curated record. NCBI's taxonomy places the organism in Eukaryota, Metazoa, Chordata, Mammalia, Carnivora, Herpestidae. The transcript has 6 exons.
CUAACGGGCUCAGGACUCAGGUGGAAAGAGACCCCGGCGGAACCGACGCAACAACCAUCCUGCGACCGUGACCAGCGCGCAGAUGCGGUGGCCACUGGGGCAGGAGGGAGCGGGUCGUCCCGACGCCGGCCAGCAGCCGGAGGAGUGGAACUAACAAAGAGCUAAUCGCGCACCGAAGCCCCCCGCGAGCGGAAGCAACGCCGCCCCGCCGCCCCCGCCUGGCUACCCUCCCCAAGUUCAGGGCCGGCAGACGACUCGCACGCGGGGCCUGCAGCCAGGCCGGAGCCGGGUUCGCGGUCGGGAUGCGGGAAACAGCACUGUACAGAGAAGGCACUGAGUAGACGUUUGUUGGUCUGAACUGAGCUUCUGUUUCUCAUACCUCAAGAGAGGACAUAAAACAAAGCACGGAAGCUUUGCAAGCUCGGCUCACAGCUACCUGACUAAAGAUUGCCUUCCCAGCCCCCCCUUGCAGCCAGACAUGGCCGUGUGACAAACUUCGUGCCAGUCGAAUGUGAGCAGCUCAUGGAGUCUUCCUGGAUCAGGAACAAUGCAAACUCCCACCUUCUAUAGCAGAUUGUUCCUUUUUAUUCUCCUGACUUAAAAAAAAAAAAUGUUGGGCAUCUUCAAGAGAUUCAUAAAUGACACAAGGUUAAAAAGAAAAAUCGUACAAAUGAAGAACAUCAAGACAAAAAUGCAAAUGAAGUGUUGAAGACCGAGAUCUGUCGCCUGGAUUAAAGCAACUAUAACGUGAGGUCCUAUGCAGCAGGUACCAAGCAGAGCAGGGCAUGACUGUCACAGGGAACACUGCACACGA